UGGAAAUGCAGUACUAAAAUACAGAUGAAAUGAUAUGAAAUCUGGAAUUUAUUUCUAAAUAAUCUUAUGUAGAAAUAAGAAAAAGUAAGUGUUGGAAACAGGGUUGAACAUUAGUAAUGAGUAUAUGGUGGUUCAUUUUAUUAUUCUUUUUUUUAUGUUUUACUUUUUGCAAGGUAUUCUCAAACUUGGGAACCAGCCUUGUAGCCUGACAAAAUUACCUGGGAUGGAGCUCAGGACGACUGGCCCUUGUCUUGCUCUGUGACUGUACAUGUCACUUCUCACUUGUCCAUUCAAAAAAAACUCUGGAGAACCUCCUGUCUGCUUGGGCUUCUAAAUCAUGGCAUCUGCCAAAUAGAAGCAUGGAAGGCUUUGCAAAAGAAUUGACAUUUGAUAUGGAUUCUGACAGAAGAAAAGGAGUUCCCUGGGUGGCAUCAGUUCAUCUUCUAUAAGGGACCUGGCAGCAUCUAGCAGUGUGAUCCAGAGCCUGGUGGAGGGCUGGGAAUGCUAGCAGCUCCUCUAAUUUUUACUGCUGUAAACCAAAGCUUCCAGGAGCAGCCAGCCCAGGAGCACAGUGGGGCUAUCAGCAAAGCAGGGAUGCUGAUCCAAGUUCAAAUCCCAGUCUUCCCAGGGCCACACUGGGAGCUUUGGAGAAAAUUGCAGAAGUUGGAGUUGGCAUCCGUCAACGUAGUGGGAUGAAACAAAGUGGCAGUCGUGGGCCACCUUGCAUAUGGCCUGCACACAGUAGGCCCUCAGCUAGUGAAGGCUUCUGCAGGUGGGGCCCAUGGAGCCCCAGACUUUGGGCUGAGGGAGGCCCAGGCCUAGCCCAUUAGAGGCUGCUGAGCUCCACAUGGAAACCCCAGCUGGCUGUGGGGCCCAAGGUGUUGUGUGGUGAAGUGGCUUCUGGUCAGUGCCAGCGCACGUCCCUACCAGAUUCAGGACCAGUGGCCCCCCAGUGCCAUGAGAAUACUGUGAAAGCUUCCCAGAGGAGGUGCUAUUUGAUCCCCUUUAAAGGAAUACAUCAAAGCCCUACAGGUUGGCCCAAAGCUGCUGUGUCCCCGUAGACAGUGGAUAAGUAACUUGAAAUUCCCUGUGUCCCAAGCACCUGCUGUGUGCUCAAUCAGGAAAGCAAGUGAUAAGCCGAAAAGACAAGCUGCUCAAAUGGGCAAAGAAUAUGAGUAGGUAUGAAUAGGUAUAUGAAUAUGAAUAGGUUCACCAAAGAGGCAUGGAAAGUGGCUCGGAAAUUGAUUUUUAAAAAGAAUGCUCAGU
Molecule: long non-coding RNA, 1266 nt
Filed under: Bos mutus (wild yak)
Lineage: Eukaryota; Metazoa; Chordata; Mammalia; Artiodactyla; Bovidae
Description: lncRNA (ENSBMUG00000015320.1)
Source: RNAcentral